Pelobates cultripes (western spadefoot toad) is the source of this 314-nucleotide non-coding RNA. The record is from the annotation of a GenBank genome assembly. Lineage: Eukaryota; Metazoa; Chordata; Amphibia; Anura; Pelobatidae.
UGAGACCCAUCUUGAUAGAUAUAGGAUACAGUUACUUGAAAUUUGAGCAAAUUUGGACCCACUUGUUCUUCAGCAACCCUCUGAAGUGAAGAAGAGCCCUGAAAUCUACUUGUAAUUCAAUGCAAUUGAAUGGAAAUAACGUCAGGGGCCCCUGACGAAGGUGCAUCUCCUAAGGCACCGAAACGCGCGUCGGGCGUUUUUCUCAUAUCUUAUGAGCACUGGGCACUGGUGUCUAUAGCACCAUGUUUGGCACUAAUUCUAUGGGAUUUUUUUGAUUUUUAUGUUUACUAUACUUCUCACUUACCUUAUCUUUG